CAAAAUUAUUAUCUUAGCGGACUCAGCGCCACUAUGCGGCAUCUCACGCGCAUCGCUACCUACCGUCCUCUCAGCCUUAUGGCCCCCUUCGUGGUCUUCCACUUCGUUGUCUAUGAUUAUGAGUAACAAGUUAAAUGGGUGUUUGUUACGUUACGCUGUUAUGUGUUUCAAAGGAUUUUUCGUCAAAAAAUUUACGAUUGCUUUUUGUCUGUGUUGGUGUUUCGCCUUGUCAGCUAUGCUAGCUGCUGAUAGCUGCUGAACCAGCAGUCUGCAUUCCUGCUAUCAAUGUACCACAAGAGAUCUUGACACUUUGAGAAGGCCACUAUUGCUUACAUGAAGAUCACCAUCCAGUUCAAGUACUGUUAAUGGACCUCAAGCCUUUUGUUUAAGCUUAGUGAUGUGUUCUCUCGUCAGUCAACAACAGUCUUCAUCUACUUUGUUGCUAACCAUCCACCCUCAGCAUCCCAGGUAUCCAGAUUUCCAAGUUUCUCUGAUUAGCCAACCAUCAUCAAAACCCUUCAGCUCUUAAAUGUGGCUUCUCUUCCUCACUUCUUAAUCUGCUGAAUGCCAACACUGAAUAAGAUUCAUCAUCAUUGCCUUUCCAUGCCAGCUCACAUGGAUAGGCUUUAACAGCAUCUCCAUUUUUUGGACUGCAAAUAUUCAUCUUCUUCGGUACGACACUGCCGUUUUGACAAUUUCGGCAGUUUCGCCCCCAGUGGACCACACGCAACUACAUUUUCUUCGUCAUCCUGUCGUUGUUGUCUACGACUUCACCUCAUCGCUGUCUUCGUUGAUGUCUUCGCCUUCAUCUCCGUCUCGUCGUCUUAGUCGUCUUCUCCUUCAUCUCCGUCUCGUCGUCUUAGUCGUCUUCUCCUUCAUCUCCGUCUCGUCGUCUUAGUCGUCUUCUCCUUCAUCUCCGUCUCGUCGUCUUAGUCAUCUUCGCCUUCACCUUCGUCUCGGCGUCUUCGCCGUCUUUGUCUACGCCAUCACCUCGUCGCCGGCUUCUCUUUCGCCCUUCACGUUGAGAAUUCACCGUGGAUCUUCGCUCUGGUAUUGUUUUGUUUUACAUUAUUAUGUUUAAGUUAACCCGUUGGCUGCCACCCCGUUUGCGUCCCAUUUUUUUUGUAGCUUGUAGGGACCGGCCGCAAUGGCCUACGCCGAAAGGCACCUUAGGCAAUGCACCAGUAGGGACUUCUCUUUGUCGAUGUGGUGGCGGAUUCCUGAGGGUGUGCAUUCCCUGUAAUGGAUUCCGUCACCGUGUCAGCCCGGACUUGUCUUCGGACAAGUCCCACCUUGUUCGCGAUCCUUAAGACGCGAUGUUUAGUUACUGUAGUUUAAGCAACCUACGGGUUGCGUGGCCUGGCAGCCAACGGGUUAACUUAGUUUAGUGUAUGUAUGUUUGUGUAAAUAUUUGUGUGUAUGUAUAUUGUUAUAAAAAAUAGUGGUGGAA
This is a long non-coding RNA of Daphnia magna, 1450 nucleotides long. RefSeq lists it as uncharacterized. Lineage: Eukaryota; Metazoa; Arthropoda; Branchiopoda; Diplostraca; Daphniidae. The record is from RefSeq and is a predicted model, not a curated record. The transcript has 6 exons.